UUUCAAUUUAAGCACAUAUACUAAAAGUGGAAUGAUACAUAGAAGAUUAGCUUGGCUCCUGCGCAAGGAUGGCAUGCAAAUUCAUGAAGCGUUUCAUAUCUUU
Molecule: small nuclear RNA, 103 nt
Organism: Protopterus annectens (West African lungfish)
Lineage: Eukaryota; Metazoa; Chordata; Ceratodontiformes; Protopteridae
Source: RefSeq, a predicted model, not a curated record